GCCAAGAUACUCAAUCAGCCUAGUUGCCCAUUACUGGAAGAACAGAUAAAGAAAUGUGCAUAUACAGUGUGCUUUAGCCAUAAAUUUGAAUGAAAUCUUGUCCUUUGCAAGAACAUAGAUGGAAAAAGAAAGCGGAUGGAAUUGGAGGAUCUCAUCUGAAGCAGAAUACGUCAGACACAGAAAGACAGGCCUCACAUAUUUUCUCUUGUGAGUGGAAAUUGUUUAAAACCCUGGAAGUAGAAGACAGACUACUCUGGCUGCGAAGGGAACCACGAGGGAGGAGCGAGAAGAGGGGCGAGACAGGACAGAGGGAGGGCGGCUGUGACCAGCACACGGUACGUGCUUCCCGUGCGCAAGGCCCCGGGAGCUCAUCAGCUUGCGUAACCAUCACUUACAAUGAUAACCAAGGGGAGUGCUGAAGGCAGAAAAUCACUGAACUGGGGAGCCCAGAAAGCAGCAGCCGUAAAUACGAGAUGACCUUCCAAGAGCCGGAUGCCUGAAUUUACGACUUUGGAGACUACGAGACCAUGGGCCGCAGCAAGGGGAGCAUCGCGGCAGCAGGGGGCUGAGGAGGAAGGGAGAGCUCAUGGCCUUAAGUGAGGAGCGCAGCGGCCAGGCUGGACCUUCGCCGGCUCGCGGCAGGGCCUUCGCGGCGCCGCCCGCAGUAAGGCUCCGUGAGAAGAGCUGUGGACCAGGCCGGCGGCCUGAACGAUCCCGGGGCCUGAGGGCCGCUCCGGGACGCGCUCGAGGGCAAGGGGCGGGAGGCCAGGUCAAGGUCAGGCCCUGGGAAUAAGCCGGGGGAGGAGGAGCGACUCUGAAGGGGCGGGGCGACCGAUCGCGUCCCUGGGCAGGCACAGGGCACAGCACCGACUGCAAGCUAGGUUAAAGGCCACGUUUCGGGAUCCGGCAGGAAGCUCCUGUCCGUGGAGGGCCGCAGUCUAGCAUGUCCUGUCCUGUGUUCUUGACCACAAGGCCACCAUGCAGUGAGCAGCUGUCCUCCACCAGGCUCUUUUGCCUCAUGUUUCUGGAGUGGAGCAGCUGGCCAUGGACUGAACCCAGUGGAACUGUGAACCAACAGGGAAGUCUGUGCAGGUAUGCUGCUUUAAACAAGGUGGACUUAGCCAAGGCAGCGGAUGAUCUUGUGUUAAGGCGGAGUGCAAACACAUCUUGCCUGCUUUGUGAGAGGUUUCCAGAGAACUCGCAGGUGCAGCAGAACCACGGCUGGGCGGAGGGGCCACUGGGCCCUCUAGGAACUUCUCUCAAAUAUACCACAGGAGGCACUGCUCCCUGCAGAGUUCACGUGGGACGUCUUUAACUGUCCGCCAGUCUGUUUUCCCCAGAAUCAAACAUCUGCCCAAGUCCAAGAACAUCUCAAGAAGCCAAAAUAAAUACAGAAACCUUUUCCCAUAGCUCACCAGUUGAUUUUCCCAGCUAUAAAAAGAUGUUUCAACUGACAGGAAAUAGUUCCCUGACUGACACAGGUCUCCUGAGAGGAAGUGUGACUUCUUGUCCACUAACAUUUCAUGGUGGCUGAGAAUCAGCCUGCCUUCCUCUGAGGGCUUCCUAGGGCAACCAGUUGUUCAGGUCAGGAGUACCAUGAUAUAAUCUGAACCCAAUGAUCCUUGUAAAUACUCCAAUUCCAGGGAAAUCCUCAUCUUUGCCCUAAUUACAGCUUUUUUUUUUUUUGGUACUGGGGAUCGAACUCAGGACCUUGCACCUGCAAGGCAGGUGCUGGAACCACUGAGCUAAAUCCCAGGCCCACAAAUUGUUUUAAUUAACUCAAGGAAUAAGGCCCAGGCCUAUUUGGAGAUAUAUUCUCCCUUACAGCUUCUAGAAGUUCAAGAGGCAAAAUAUUUUUCAACAUUAGGUGAUCCAUUCCAAAUUAUUAAUUUCAUCUAACGAAGUAUGAUCGUUUUCUGUUGCUGCUGUAACCAAUGACCACAAAUUUAGGGACUUAACACAAAUUUUUGCCAUGACAGUUCGGUAAUGGUCCAAAAUCUCACGCCCGCCUGCCAAUGGCUGGGCUAUUUCUUCUGGAAGGCCCGGGAGAAUGUGUCCUGGUUUGGCCUGACUGGUACCACGUCCCUCCAACUCUGUCCACCCGUCCCUCUCCCUCCUGUGGCCCCUGUACCACCCUUGUAAGUCCACUCAUGAUUGCAUUUAGGGGCCACACAAGUACUACAGCACAGCCUCCCCACCUCACCCAGUCUCCUCUGCAAAGCCUCUGUUGCCACACAAAGUAACGCUCAAGGUUCUGGGAUUAUAAGUAUGAGUCCUGGGCGGGGAGGUCUAUAACUUGCCUAAUACAUAUGGGUUUGAAUUCAUUUUAAAUAAUGUGGUCCAGCCUCUACUGCUUUUAAAGUAAUUUCUUAUUUUAUACGUGUGACGCCGUGGGCAAGCUGACGAAGCCCUAUUUCUUUGUCUAGCAGGCUAUGCUACUGUAAUUGCUAACUGGAAAGCCUGUCCCUCAUCGGACUCUCGUUAGUCUCGUCUAGGACCACAAGACCGCCUACCGUAUUUCCUGCGUUUCCCUGGUCAAUGGUUUCAGUUCCCAGAAAAUGAAUCUUAACAGUCAGAAUUUUUGAUUGCCAGAGUAACCUUGCUUGAACUGGUUUAAAUUUUUUAAAAAGUGUUGGCUCACAAAACUGAAAAUUGCAGUGGGGUUGAUGGGCUUGGGCACAAAUAGAAGCAAAUACUCAGUUAUGUCCUCAGGAACAUUUUGAAGUCAGUGUUUAUGCUGGGGGUGGACCACAGGGCCUCACGCAUGCCAGGCACAGGUUCUACACGGAGCACCCAGCCCCUCAUCUUCAGGAAUUUCCAAUCCGUCCCUUCCCUUCAACCUGCUUCGCUUAGUCUUGGUUUUUUCUCAGCCGAAGGCUAAUGCUCUAAUGCUCAUAAGUGUUGCAAAACAACAUCUCAGAAGUGCUGAUCUUCUAAUCUACCAACUUAGCAACCCAACAGCUGGAGGCAAUGCCUUUCUCUCAGAAGUUGCAGCAAAGGUCCCAGGGGUGUUGUCCCUGACCCAGGGGAAGUCACAGCACAUUACCGGCCCUGACGCCAUGGCUUCUGGGGUAUGUAUGUGCUCUGACUGUCGAAGCCUGAGCUCUAUGUCUCCUUGAAACCUAGGAGGAGCCCUUGUCCCAGGCCACAUAAGGGAGGCUUGGUCUCCCCAAAAUAAAGGUAAACUCAGCAGAAAGAGAAGUUGAUGGUGGGCCAAACAAAUUAACAUGUCUGCUACACUAGUUUCAGACCCAGGUGCUGCCUGUACAAGGAACAUCUAAUAGUGACGAAUUUCUCGAGGCAAGACUGUGCUUGCCCCUUACGCUAGACCCUUUCCCUCCAUCCUUGAGUAAUGCAGCACUACUCAGCUGUGUGUGGAUUCUCAGACACCAGAGUCGGGGAAAAUGAUCUCUUCUUAUGCCCAGGGCUGAGCCAAGAAAAGCCUGUUUCCUUGCUGAAAUAACCUGACACUGCAGGAUUGCAAAACCACGUCACAAAAGUCUCAACUCAGAUCUGUAAACCAUGGGAACCCUGAAAGAAAUGAUUGGUUGGAUUGUCCAGAGAUUACAUGACUACAAUGAAAGUGUAAAGUUUAGAUAGCACAUUCUCACUUUCGCCAAAACAGAACACUAAUGUGACCCAAUGUUUCUUAUUUCCAAAAAGCCCCUGACUAAAUCAAGUAAAAAGAAACCAACAAAGCUUUCCAUGUCCCGGCUUGUAACAUUUCUCUUCAUAAAUGAGUUCCUAGAUACUUGAAUUUGAAAAUCCAUCUCUAGGUUGGGUAUUCACUUUUCAUCUAAAAGUAAAUAUAUAUUGUUAAUCUGAUUUUAAUUUUUCUCUUAUUUGGAAAAGAUGACUUAGCAAAUUAGGGAAAAAAAGAUUAGAUGGAUAAAGAAAUCUGAAACAUCAGGUUACAUUUUCUCAUACAGAUAUUCAUCCUUUGUAUUAUAAAAGUAUAAGCUUGGUUUUUCUGUUAAAUUAUUAUUAUAAUAUUAAAUUAAGGAAUCAAGUUGUGAUAGUGCUGCUUGCCUGAGUUUCCUGUUUGGGGUGACAGAAUUUUGUUUUUAAGAGACAGGAUCUUAUAUGCUGCUCGGGCUGGCCCCAAACUCCCUGGCUCAGUGAUCCUCCUAGCACAGACUCCCAAGUAGCUGAGAAUGUCGUCAAGGGCUCACCAGGCCAUACUAUUUCCGUUUCUAGUGGGGACUGACUCUGCCCACAUAACUCUGGGAAUAACCAAAGGGGUUGCUUCGAUCAGGACAUCAUGGAGGCCACUGAAAAGUUAACCAAAAAACCAAACUUGUAUAGCAAAAUAUACAUUAUUCUAACUACUUGUAGAGCAUGAACAAUAAAUAAUGUGAGAUUUUGAUGUUCUAGUUCCUUCUAGAAAUCCAUGACACAUUCAACAGUACUUUACUCUUGUGAUUAGCUUCUCUUUUUGAUUUUAAGUUCUUCUAGUUCUUUUUAAUUUUAGAUGUCUUCACUGGAGUCUACAGUUGCAUCAAAUUGGAAUUUAAACUUUUUUAUCCUAUGGAUGAAUCAAAUUGGAAUUUUAAACACCGGGUCUUUAUCCCAAAUUGUUUUAAAAGGUUUUAUUUUUUAAACAUUCUGUAAAACUUCUGCAACUGCCCUUUUGCCUUGGGGCCUAGACCUUCUCCACCCAAGCAGGAGAAAGGAAUGAAAGAUUUCCCCGAGAGCCAGGAGUUGCCAUGGGGAACACAGGAAGCACAGGGCUUUAAAGGGGACUCCAGACUCCCCGCAGGUAAUUAGUAAUAUCGGAAGAUUCCUUUCGGAGGUGCUGGGGUUCAACCAGCGCGCACGCGUGCGCGCGCACACACACACACACACGCACACACACGCACGCACAGGUGAAGCACAGAGUCCACCACUGAGCCACACUCCCAGCCUCGGUGGUCCUACUUUUAAUUCACAGAAAUUCUCCUUACACAUCCCCACUCCCUUCUCUCUCCUCCUUCCCUGUGACUAUUGAAGAUUUUCUUUCUUAGAACCAAACCUAAGUCCGCUGGAGCCCUGCUAUGUGUCCCCUCCCGUCCGGCCUCUGCCUUAGAUGUAGCUUCAUGGCCUUUCUGAAUGAGCUGUCACCUUCUUUUUUCCUGUAAGUUUCAACCACCCAGUUCCACUAACUACAGCUCUGAAGACUGGGAAACUCCACAGCCAAGCUAAAUCAACCCAGAAGAGUAGAUCCUUCACGGAGAAAAAAGAUUGUCUGCAGCCGAAGAGAGGUAAAAGAGGGGAGGACUAUCACACAGGACAGAAGACUGUCCCUGUGCUUCCCUACCUUUCAGCACUGAGCUUCCACACCCUCAAGUCAUUACUUCUGGUUCAAGAUGGUGUGACUCACAUCAAAUGAAACAGGGUUAGAAGAGCUUUUAUAGAAAAAACUUCCAAAGUGAGUCUGAAGUAAAAAGUCUAACAGUGUCUUAAAUUUAUUCCUUGCUAAUGUAGAAGUUCAUCUAAUUAAAUUUGAUGUUUGGGUUGGAGUCAGUAUGGAGCACUUGCCUUACAUGUGGGAGCUCGGAGUUCACUACCCAGUGUUGCAAAAUAAAUAAAAAUGAAUGAAAGUCUUCUUUAUCACCUAGGAAUCAUGAGUGUUGAGCAAUUUCAUGGAAAGCCAAUAAUGCCCCCUUUCUGGAUUCAGCAUGUCAAAUCUGACUGCAGCACUGGAUGUGGAAUUCUAGGAUAUUGUCCACUAAGUAUUUUUAGUAUUUUCAUGGCAUACAAGGACCUCUGUAGGCUGCAAUCUAGUCCUGGGUUCACAAAAACUCAUUUGGUUAAAAUUUUAAAAUCCUAGAAACUCAGAUUCUCCUGCAAGGAAAAGAUCACCUCAUUUGAGAGAAAGGCCAAUGUACAGAAAUGUGCACACACAGCACACAGAUUUGAUGGAAUUCCCCACAAGGCACACAGUUCGCCAAUACUAUGUUGUUCCCACACCUGAAGCUGUUACGGUUCCCGGCUUUGGGCAAACGGAAGUUGGUGCUUACUGUCACCCAGAGUCCGAGGCUCCGUGGUCUCACUGGCAGAUGACAGGACACGACCAGGUUUGGAGCGACCUUUGUAACAGCUUCAGCUAAGUCUGAUUACUCCAAAUAUAUGGGUUCUGAAGCUGUGAUUUUGGACUCUAAUGCCUGUUUUGCUCUUGGAAGCAUCUUUAGUUUCUUGCUUUACUUUCUGCCUCAAAUUUGGACUUAGCUCUUUCAUCUGCUCCAAGGUUUCUGUCCAGAUUCACUCCCACAAAUCUCCAACAGAAGGUAACAAACAGCACAGCGACUCAGCAUUCUAAAUUUCAAUGUAAAAAAUAUGAAAAAUGGUUAAUGUAAGAUUCUUAUACAGGUGCCAGUUCUAUCUACCAGUAGUUAAUCAUGGGGAGGGCAACUCACAUUUUUAAUCAUUGUUCUUCAUCUUGGGUUUGUUCCAGUUCGGAAAGCGUGUGCUUCUCUGCUCUUUACAAAGUGAGGCGGUUCGGGUGCCAGUCUCUGAGGUCUCAUCCCAGCUUUUAUCCGGGUUUCUGGAGCAUCCAGGAGUCCCGCCAUGUGCAUCCUGGCUGAAUCAUUCCGGAAGGCUCUCAUGGAAGGCUCUCUCGGUAUCUUGCACAGAGGAGUCUCCUCACUUCUCCUCGAUGGCCUCCAAUGACAAAGGGGAAGGAGCAGCCAGUAUGAGGUCCGGACUCCAAUGAGUCUCCUCGGGAGCCAGCCCACGGGCUAGGGUCAGGGUUAGGGUUAGGAUCUGGCUACACAGAUGUUGCACAGGAUGAGCUGUCCACCCUGGACUCCGCUGAGGCAGCCAAGGGAGG
Molecule: long non-coding RNA, 6808 nt
Filed under: Heterocephalus glaber (naked mole-rat)
Lineage: Eukaryota; Metazoa; Chordata; Mammalia; Rodentia; Bathyergidae
Description: lncRNA (ENSHGLG00100035375.1)
Source: RNAcentral